AUUGAACGCUGGCGGCAUGCCUUACACAUGCAAGUCGAACGGCAGCACGGGUGCUUGCACCUGGUGGCGAGUGGCGAACGGGUGAGUAACACAUCGGAACAUGUCCUGUAGUGGGGGAUAGCCCGGCGAAAGCCGGAUUAAUACCGCAUACGAUCCACGGAUGAAAGCGGGGGACCUUCGGGCCUCGCGCUAUAGGGUUGGCCGAUGGCUGAUUAGCUAGUUGGUGGGGUAAAGGCCUACCAAGGCGACGAUCAGUAGCUGGUCUGAGAGGACGACCAGCCACACUGGGACUGAGACACGGCCCAGACUCCUACGGGAGGCAGCAGUGGGGAAUUUUGGACAAUGGGCGAAAGCCUGAUCCAGCAAUGCCGCGUGUGUGAAGAAGGCCUUCGGGUUGUAAAGCACUUUUGUCCGGAAAGAAAUCCUUGACUCUAAUACAGUCGGGGGAUGACGGUACCGGAAGAAUAAGCACCGGCUAACUACGUG
Molecule: ribosomal RNA, 486 nt
Filed under: uncultured bacterium
Lineage: Bacteria
Description: partial 16S ribosomal RNA
Rfam family: Bacterial small subunit ribosomal RNA
Source: RNAcentral